ACCAUGCCUCUAAAGUGGCUGGAAGCUGCUUCAUUCUCACCAUCUGUUUCACUCCUAACAAGUCUCUUCUGAUGCCAGUUGAGGUGCUUCAUGAUGAUGUUUCCAUCCCCUCUCACCAGUGACAUUUCCUCAUCAUGCUGCACAUCACUGGUGGAGGGGAAUUACAAACAUCAUCCUUCCAUGCCUCAACUGGCAGCAGAACAGAUCUCUGUUGCUUGAUAUAGCUGCUGGUUGUUAAGACAAGAAGACAAAGAUAACUCUAAAGGUAGAAAAAAUUAUCAAGAGACACUGAAGGAGAAACAGAAAGAAAUAUGAAAAGUUGUGUGUGAGGAUAAAAGUUCUUCUAAAGAUGAAACACACAUUGAGCUUAUGUUACCAUGUUAUGAGCAGAAGAGUGCUAGAAAUUGGUGAAGUGGUUGAGAAAAUGGGACCAUAUUGCUAGGAAUUUGAAAAGCUGGGAUCUUGCUACAAUAUCUAUAUUUUUCCUAAGGGAACAAAUACGUGUGUGAAUGUAUGUGUGUUAUAUGCAGUGGGAGAACAGUGUGUGUCUCAAAAGAAAGAUCAUUAGCGUUUAGCCAGGUUUCAUUGCCCCAGUGCAAAUUCCUUUCCAGUAGUUUUACAACAAAAGCGAAGAAAUUGCAACAGAAUGGAGAUGUCUUGAAACAAGGGAACAAACAAGUUGUGAUGUUUGUCAUGUAGCAGAGUAGUUGAGUUCAUACCCUCCAACUGUCCCAAUUUGGUACAAACAGUCCUACUUGUAAAAUAUUUCACUUUCUCUCUCUUCCUCCCACUUUCUCCUUUGUCCUUAGGUUAUUUUUGCAAUCUGAGUUCAAAGUGCAAAUGUAGUCAGCACUCAAUUAACUCAGCAGGGGGAGAGGAGGGACAGAAUCUUUCCCUUCUCAGUAGUUUCAGGCAAACUGCUGUAACCUCUCCAAGUCUGUGUGUUCUUCCUCACUUAUAAUAUUGUCAUAUUGACCACAGUCAGAUGUUUCUUAGCCACAUGUGUCACAGUUUUAUCUGUGAAAUGCUGGCGGCUGUGAAGGUUUUUGUCUCAGAAAACAUCUUUACAAAAGCUGGUGGCCAAUAAAUGGGAGGCUAGAACAAGCAGGGUGGAGUGUUUUGGAUCUUCCACUCCCUUCCCCUGUUAAAGCUUAAUAGCUACUUGAAGAAGCCCAAUUGGCCUUCUUGCACAAGUGUUGCCUGGGCUCAUUUGAGGGAGUGGAUUCUUCAUUACCAAUUAAUCAGUGCUGGGAUAGUGCUGCCUGUUGACUUAUGGGGACCCCAUGCAUUUCAUAGGGUUUUCUUAGGCAGAGACUACUCAGGAUAUUUUCACAUGGGGAAAAUUGGAAGGUUAAACUGAUCACAAUGUAGAUUCAUUCAGGGCAUUAGGGACAAUUUUGCAAUUGCUUUUCAGAUGACGCUGCACACGAACGGGUUAGAAUCCAAACAGAAAGUGAGGUGAAUCAGGGAAUAAGCAUUUUUGCAAAAAUACCAUGUUUUCAUUUCCAGUUCAUUUAUGAAUUCACUUUCUUCACGUAACUGCAGCACCCUGAAAAACAUGUGCUGAAUUCUCCCUGUUCCCAGAUUUUCCAUAGUUCCUUUGCUGUGCUGAGGAGAGGGAGGCAGCCUUGUUCUUAAAAGGACAUACGCAAUACACACACACCUCUCUUUCCCUCACCAGGCUAGUCUCCUCCUCCUACAGCUUCUAAGGAAAGAGCUGGUGGGAGAGCAAGAGAGAGGACAUUUUGGAAUUCCUCCUGUACAGCAGGGAGAAAUGGAGGAUAUGUCCUGGAAAAGGAGGACAUCUGCAAGUUUCAGCCCUCACUGAAAUCAGGCAGGUUCAUGGACCAGCCACCUCCUUUUUCUCUCUAGUGUGUGUGUGUAUGUGUGGUUUUAUGAGAGUUUGCAAAGGGAAACCUCAGCCUUCCUUCCUCUGAAACAGCUUCUGGGGCAAAGAGGAUUUUCCUCCCUGGCUUCCCUUCCCUCUCUGGAGCAUGUGUGUGUAUGCACUUGUGGAAAUGACAGUUUGGAGCAUGUGCAAGAAAGUUAUUUCCAAUAAAAAGUUAUUUCAGUCCUUACCUGUCUGAAACUCAAAUUCGUUUUCGACCCACUUUCUUGCCUAAGUAAUGUGCUUUUAACCCUCUGUUGUGCUCUAUGUGUGAUAAUUGUUAGAAAAUUUGCUUGCUUUUCCAGGAUGCCAACACUUUAACCAUAUUUGGGAUGGAAGCACAUAAGUCACCAUGGGAUAAAGUUCUCAGAGGUGGCAUUGCCAGCUCUUUCCUCUGAAAUACAGCCCACAGCACCUAGUAUUCAUGCCGGUGUCUAAAAGUAGACCAUAACC
Molecule: long non-coding RNA, 2341 nt
Organism: Sceloporus undulatus (fence lizard)
Lineage: Eukaryota; Metazoa; Chordata; Lepidosauria; Squamata; Phrynosomatidae
Exons: 3
Source: RefSeq, a predicted model, not a curated record